UGCCUAUUCCUAUUUGGUAUAUGUGAUGAGAUUAAAACAUAUUUUUCUUUUCUUUUAGCACACCCCACCCUUACAUGGCACACAAGUAUAUGACACACAACACAGGUCUUCUCAGGAGGCUGUGCCUACAGAGAGCAGCAGUUGCAGACUUCACCCCAGACCCAACACAUUUUGGGCUCCCACUUUCAACUAUUGAGGAGCUACAAUGUUUGUAGGAGACAUUAAAUAAUCCAGAUGAGAAGAAGAAUUUGGUGAGACUGUUUUUCCUGGAAUGGUCGGAGACAAGACUCUUAAAGACACCGUGGGGUGGGUCCUGAAAAAAACAAUAAACUCUUCGUGGCGAGACUCAUCAAUUGAAGUGGGGUCAACUGAAAGCCUGCAUUCAAAGGGCUCACUUUGAAAAGUGUGGUUUUGGAUGCAGUCCGCCGGAAUGCCCUGACCAAAGAUAACACAGAAAAGGAGAUAGAGCUCCUCAUCACCAGGUGGUCGGUGCUAGCAUAUGACAGGGAUGGUGGCCGAAUCCAGACAAUAGACAGACAAUGAAUUAAAAUGUUUUAAAUUUAAAAAUGUUGAUUUUUGGAAAAUUCGUAUUUGAACUGAUUGUGUGUGUGUGUGUGUGCACCUGGUAAUUAUCACGUUGUGUCCCCACAAAGAUAGGAAUACCAGUAUUUUUGUGACCUUGUGUCCCCAUGAGGAAACAAGCUUAAAUCAAACAAAAUGAUGUUUCUUGUAAAUGUGAAGUAGGAGAAGGGUUUCUGUGAUGGUUGGGUUUAGGGAAUGGGGUAGGUAAGGGGAAUAAAAUAUACAGUUUGUAUGGUAUAAAAUGCAUUACGUCUAUGGAAUGUCCCCACAAAACAUGGAAACCUGUUUGUGUGUACGAGAGAGAGAGAAUGUGUGUUCAAGUGUGUCCACAGGCGUUUGUUUUAUCUCGAUUGGACUACUGUAACUCAUUAUAUGUUGGGUUACCUCAAUCCUCCAUGUUACGGCUUCAGAUGGCUCAAAAUGCCACCGCUAGGUUUUUAACUGGGGUUCGUAAACGAGAACAUAUUACUCCAAUUUUAGUGUCUCUUAAUUGG
Molecule: non-coding RNA, 1076 nt
Organism: Paramisgurnus dabryanus
Lineage: Eukaryota; Metazoa; Chordata; Actinopteri; Cypriniformes; Cobitidae
Source: RefSeq, a predicted model, not a curated record